This 76-nucleotide non-coding RNA is filed under the name marine eukaryotic metagenome. RNAcentral describes it as "Glycine riboswitch". It matches the Rfam family "Glycine riboswitch aptamer", at positions 8 to 87 of the family's 94-position model. From Rfam's summary of the family: This family represents the bacterial glycine riboswitch. Glycine riboswitches usually consist of two metabolite-binding aptamers domains with similar structures in tandem. The record is from RNAcentral.
AUGCAGGAGAGACCGAGAUUUCUCGGCACCGAAGGCGCAAAUUCCGCCCGGAAUCGCUCAGGUAAAAGGACUGUAU